Lycium barbarum (goji berry) is the source of this 1218-nucleotide long non-coding RNA. RefSeq lists it as uncharacterized. The record is from RefSeq and is a predicted model, not a curated record. The transcript has 4 exons. Lineage: Eukaryota; Viridiplantae; Streptophyta; Magnoliopsida; Solanales; Solanaceae.
AAAAUGAAGAAGGUUUAAUUAAAAGGGCUGAAAUGUUUUAGCCGGUUCAUUGUGUAAAAAGUCCCAAGGACAGAAAACCUUAAGCCCCAAAUUGAUCCGAUUGAAACCCAAAAAUCAGUGUUUAAUCUCUUCGAUUUGGCUCGAAAUCGUUCAAGGUCGUUGUUGAAGCUUUAAGGAUUUGAAGAUUUAUCCAUUCUUCUCCCUCAAUUUAGCCAAGGUCGAUAUGUAUCAAAAUUGGAGCAAGCUGUGUUUGAGUUACAUAAGGACCAUUUCUCUUUGACCAAAAUGAAAUCUUAUGCAAAGAACAUUGGGUUGUAUCUGAAACAUGUGAAUAUUGAAGAAGGGAGCCCCAUUGUUGGAAUUGUUUUGGGACCAUUGGUUGGUGGAAAAAAUAAUGAAGAAUUGGGGGGUAGCUCUAGGGUUUCACAACUUGAGGAAUCAAGAUGACAUGUUCCAAAUGCCAUCAAGUUGGCCACAAUAAAAGGGGCUGCAAAUCAGUGCCUUCUCAACAGACCACUCAACAACUCACUUAACAACCAUCAAGAUCAAGGCCAGAAACUUCAAGAGUUAGAGGAAGUAGAAAACAAACAGCAACUCAUCAAGUUCAAGGGCAGAAGUUGGUUCUUCAACUACAAGGGCAACAUCUUCUUCAAUUGGAAAAAAAGAACAAGAGAUGUGGGAUUUAGUGUUUGCAUAGACACACAAUCUGAAAGACAAGUGAUCAAUGUAUGUAUAUCUAUUAGCUAAUUUCCUUAGAUAUGUAUAAUGUAAAGUGUAUAACAUUUAUGAAUUUUGCGGUCUGGGAGACCAAGUGAAAGAGUUAUCUCAAGUGGGGCAACAAUAAAGGAUGCAUCACUAACAACUAUUGAUCUUGGAUUCAAGCCACCUGGACUGAGGUGGAAAAAUAAAGAUGCUAUCACUGGAAACUAGCUUGAAGUAAUGCAGCAGUGUAAAAAGUUGGAAAUCAGAUCCAUAGCUAAGACUUGGCGGCCAUAAGAGUUCAAGUUCAUUUGAUAUAAUUUUUGUAAACCCAAGUUCUAGCAGUUCUGGUGGCAUUUAGACUUGCCUUUAAACUAUUUAUUCCAACUACUUAACAUUUAUUCAUUUUGAUGUAUGUUUUGGUUAUUUUGAUGUAUGUUUGGCUUUUGGAUGUUUUGUGAAGCCUUUUGGCAAAAUUGGCAGAUUUAUGAAGAUAGUUUUAUGCAUAGUUUGAUUGAA